RNAcentral lists this ribosomal RNA (139 nucleotides) under uncultured Geoalkalibacter sp. RNAcentral's name for it is "partial 16S ribosomal RNA". It matches the Rfam family "Bacterial small subunit ribosomal RNA", at positions 355 to 485 of the family's 1533-position model. Lineage: Bacteria; Pseudomonadati; Thermodesulfobacteriota; Desulfuromonadia; Desulfuromonadales; Geoalkalibacteraceae. The record is from RNAcentral.
UGGGGAAUUUUGCGCAAUGGGAGAAAGCCUGACGCAGCAACGCCGCGUGAGGGAUGAAGGCCUUCGGGUCGUAAAACUCUGUCAGAGGGGAAGAACAUCCUGUGGGAUAAUACCCCGGAGGCCUGACGGUACCCUCAAG